UACGUAGGCGGAUCAGAAAGUUAGGGGUGAAAUCCCGGGGCUCAACCCCGGAACUGCCUCUAAAACUCCUGGUCUUGAGUUCGAGAGAGGUGAGUGGAAUUCCGAGUGUAGAGGUGAAAUUCGUAGAUAUUCGGAGGAACACCAGUGGCGAAGGCGGCUCACUGGCUCGAUACUGACGCUGAGGUACGAAAGUGUGGGGAGCAAACA
This 207-nucleotide ribosomal RNA is filed under the name uncultured bacterium. RNAcentral describes it as "partial 16S ribosomal RNA". It matches the Rfam family "Bacterial small subunit ribosomal RNA", at positions 568 to 774 of the family's 1533-position model. The record is from RNAcentral.